GUUCAGAAGAGACACAAACCCUGCAAGAUAAUUACAAGAAAGGUGCAGCACCAAUUGGCAGAUUAGGGAUCUACUCAAAAUGACAGCUCAUGCAAAUAAUGACUUAAUGUGCAAAUUAUUAAAAAAAAAUAUUAACAAUGACAGGGAGGAGGUGAGAGAAAGCCAAAUCGAGGCACCAUCUUACAAAAUUCAGAAAAAGAAAUAAAAAUCUUUAAACAAUUCAGAAAUAAAAAUCAAAUCUUGAUAAAAUUCAGAGAUGUAUGAGCAAGCAAGCUAAUAGAGAAAAAAAAGAGAUAAAGAAUUUGACAAGCAGCAGGGCAAAUCUGAAUUGAGUUGGAUUUAAUUAAAGAAAAAAGAGGGGGAUGUGAUUAAUAAAAUAUAAGAAGAGAAGAUUAUAGAUAGUAUGAAGAAGAAGAAAAACAAGAAAUAGGAAGAGUAACCUUUUGUGUUGGUGUUGGUGUCUCCUCUUUCUCUCUGGGUCUCGUCUCUCUCGUUUGCUCUGUGUAAAUGAUUUCAGACAAUUUGAAGCUUGUUGGGUUGUUUAUGCAUACACAUUAUACACACGUAUUAAUUAGUUGUAUGUGAUAUGUACAGGUGUGUCUUCUUCUGCCUCUCAAUGCACCACAAAGGAGGACUCCCUCUCGCCCAAUCAAACAUCUGCCUCUCUUCUUUUUAUACAAAAAU
This 684-nucleotide long non-coding RNA is filed under the name Daucus carota (carrot). RNAcentral's name for it is "long non-coding RNA (DCAR_LNC006971)". Lineage: Eukaryota; Viridiplantae; Streptophyta; Magnoliopsida; Apiales; Apiaceae. The record is from RNAcentral.